GUGCGGGUAGAUUAUGGUAAUUAAAUCGUUAGGCUGUUAACCUUGUGAAGGCUGUAAGCCCCCGAACG
RNAcentral lists this transfer RNA (68 nucleotides) under Metorchis orientalis. RNAcentral describes it as "tRNA-Asn". Lineage: Eukaryota; Metazoa; Platyhelminthes; Trematoda; Opisthorchiida; Opisthorchiidae. The record is from RNAcentral.